UACAGAGGUCUCAAGCGUUGUUCGGAUUCAUUGGGCGUAAAGGGUGUGUAGGUGGCGCCGUAAGUCGGGUGUGAAAUUUCGGAGCUUAACUCCGAAACUGCAUUCGAUACUGCGGUGCUUGAGGACUGGAGAGGAGACUGGAAUUCAUGGUGUAGCAGUGAAAUGCGUAGAGAUCAUGAGGAAGACCAGUGGCGAAGGCGGGUCUCUGGACAGUUCCUGACACUGAGACACGAAGGCCAGGGGAGCAAGCGGG
Molecule: ribosomal RNA, 253 nt
Filed under: uncultured bacterium
Lineage: Bacteria
Description: partial 16S ribosomal RNA
Rfam family: Bacterial small subunit ribosomal RNA
Source: RNAcentral